AACGAACGCUGGCGGCAUGCCUAACACAUGCAAGUCGAACGAUUGCCUUCGGGUUAUGGUGGCGCACGGGUGCGUAACGCGUGGGAAUCUGCCCUUAGGUUCGGAAUAACAGCUGGAAACGGCUGCUAAUACCGGAGGAUAUCGCCAGAUCAAAGAUUUAUCGCCUUAGGAUGGGCGCGCGUUGGAUUAGGUAGUGGGUGGGGUAAAGGCCUACCAAGCCGAGGAUUCAUAGCUGGUCUGAGAGGAGGCUCAGCCACAACGGGGCUGAGACACGGACCAGGCUGCUACGGAGGGGAGCAGAGGGGAAUAUUGGAGGAUGGGCGCUAGCCUGGUCCCGCAAUGCCGGGGGAGUGAGGAAGGGCCUAGGGUUGUAAAGCUCUUUUAGCCGGGAAGAGAAUGACGGUACCGGGAGAAUAAGCCCCGGCUAACUCCGUG
Molecule: ribosomal RNA, 435 nt
Filed under: uncultured bacterium
Lineage: Bacteria
Description: partial 16S ribosomal RNA
Rfam family: Bacterial small subunit ribosomal RNA
Source: RNAcentral